UAAGGAAUAUUGGACAAUGGAGGCAACUCUGAUCCAGCCAUGCCGCGUGAAGGAAUAAGGCCCUAUGGGUUGUAAACUUCUUUUAGACGGGACAAAACCCCUUUACGUGUAAAGGGUUGAUGGUACUGUCAGAAUAGGCAUCGGCUAACUUCGUGCCAGCAGCCGCGGUAAUACGAAGGAUGCAAGCGUUAUCCGGAAUUAUUGGGUUUAAAGGGUGCGUAGGCGGACUAAUAAGUCAGUGGUGAAAGCCUGCAGCUUAACUGCAGAAUUGCCAUUGAUACUGUUAGUCUUGAGUAUAGUUGAGGUAGGCGGAAUGUGUCAUGUAGCGGUGAAAUGCUUAGAUCUGACACAGAACACCGAUUGCGAAGGCAGCUUGCUAAGCUGUAACUGACGCUGAGGCACGAAAGCGUGGGGAGCAAACA
This 422-nucleotide ribosomal RNA is filed under the name uncultured bacterium. RNAcentral's name for it is "bacterial SSU rRNA". It matches the Rfam family "Bacterial small subunit ribosomal RNA", at positions 355 to 774 of the family's 1533-position model. The record is from RNAcentral.